Molecule: long non-coding RNA, 1767 nt
Organism: Gopherus evgoodei (Goodes thornscrub tortoise)
Lineage: Eukaryota; Metazoa; Chordata; Testudines; Testudinidae
Exons: 3
Source: RefSeq, a predicted model, not a curated record
CUAAUCAUCCUUAGUUAAAUUGAAGUGGGAGUGGUGAAUUAAGCCAUAAACUGCUACAAAUUUAAAUUUUACCCAGAUGAUGAAUGAUAUCAAAAUUCGAACUAUGCCAAUUUUGAUAAUUAGCAAAAUAGUCAACGGAUGGCAUAGCCAUUCAUAUAGAUUGAGGUUCUUCCCAGGAAAUGAGAGAAACUUAUUCUACCAAUAAGGAAAACCUCUGUGAGAUGCAGGACAUGGGCCUCUGAGAAAAGUCACUGGCUCCUCUCUAGGGAGACCCUGAGAUACAAGAGGAGCCUCAGGGAAUCAGCUCUUCUGCCCUAGGGACACUGCAGUUCCUGGAUGGAUUGUCCUCACGGCCAUUCCAUCCAUCCUACCAAGGCCUUUGCAAGUGGGAUCUGGGGUCCAGGGCAUGUGCCUUGAUCCUGAUGUGCUGUUCAUGGAUCAGGGGUUCAGAGCAAAUAGACCAGCCCCAAGACUGACCAUUGUCCCAGCCUGGAGAAACAAGGAACUUGUGUCCAGCGAGACGUAGGCAGUGUCAUGAACCCCAUUUUCAAGCUCUGCGACCAGGGCUCGGCUAUUCUACCCUGAGCACAAAGACUCAGCCCCUUGGGGAGGGGGAGAGGCUGGUUUGUAGAGCAUGUACGCCUGCCCGCUGACCCUCCCCUGCUUCCUUCUGCAGCACAUCCAUCUCUCUCUCCAGUCAAAAGAGACCCAGGAGAGAGCCAAGGCCGUACCGACCAGCGCUGCCCUGCUCCAAUUUGCCACCUCCCUGCCUGGAUUUGACAUAAGUGACCUCUGACCGCAGCAUCCUGCAGAGUCAGGGCUUGAGUGAAGUUCCUCAUCCCCUGGCUAAUUGGUCCCCCCUGUUCCGUAAGGGACUGCAUUCCAUAGGCCACUGGCUGGCAGGGCUGUGCCUGGCCUCAUGGCCCUUGUUAUUCUGGAGCAGCGAGGCAGCGAGUGCUCAUAGAGAGCCCUUGCCCUGGUCCCUUUACUCCAAGCUCCCUUGGGGGCAGAGAGGAAGAGGGCUCUUCCUCCUCUCACCCAGCGCCUCCUACAGAGGGGUGGGAGCAGAGCUCAGGUCCAGGGGUGCUGGGGAGCUGAAGGGAGAAUGUUGAUGGAUUCCCCUCUUCUCCUCCUUCCACCAGACCUCCUCCGAUUUCUCCAAGGCAGGCGAAUUUGUGCUGCAGCUGGGUCUCUAUAUAUCUCACCCAGACAAUGAUAUCAACCGGCAAGCUUGGGGUGGGAUAUAUUGGCCGCAGAGGUUCCUGCUUCAGAAGAGGGGUAAGAAACCCAGCUGGGCAAUGGGACCCCAUGGAAACGAGCCUCUCGGAGACUAGCUCCAGUUGGCCAUUGGGACGCCUCUAGAACUAAGGCCUCUCUGCUUAGAUCCACUGUAGCGGGGAAGAGGAACGCCAAUAGAAAUAAGGCCCCUCCUUUGAGACUUCCUCUGCUGGGUAAUGGGAGCCUACAGAAAGACACUCCCUCUUCUGAGACUGACCCCAGCUUAGAUGGUGACUCUUUCUCUCCCCCUCUCUCUGAAUUAGGGAGACGAGUGUGAAAGUGCCAGGGAAAUUGGCUGCUUUAUCUCAGAGCCCAGCUCUGUCCCCCAGCCCAGGGAAAUCAGCCCACCCCCGUACAGGGCAGCCAGUUCAUGAGAGGACAGGAACGGAGGUAUUGAGACACAUGGAGGGAAAGAGCCCAUCAUGAGGACAGGGGCAGGAGCAGAGACCACAGGAGACGGACACAAAGCUUUGCAUGUCUCUGGGGGAG